AGCUAAUGCUUCCGUCUUGGCCCCCUUGCGAGCGCUCGGGUUGAGUUUCCCGGGCUUCCCUGACUCGGCUACCUGUUCUGGAGGUCAGGCUUUGGGCCCUUGCAGAGGUCGCCGGGGAGCGCGCGCCGCCGCCAGAGCCUGGGCCCAGUCCCCAGUCUUCAGAGACGCACUCGACCUUCCUGCUCCGAAGAGCUGGCCUGAUGCCCUCGGGUCGCGCUCCGCAGGUUCUUACUUUUCCAAACCUAGAGGGCAGUGCAUGAAGCCAGGGGUCAUCAGCCAUGCUCCAGACAGUGUGGUUCCAGGGCUUGAGCAGGAACCUGUUGUUUCAGGAGCCAGUAACCUUUGAGGAUGUGGCUGUGUACUUCACCCAGAAUGAAUGGGCCAGCCUGCACCCUACGCAGAGGGCCCUAUACAGGGGGGUGAUGCUGGAGAAUUAUGCAAAUGUGACUUCCUUGUGUAAGUCCUCCUUCCUCUCUGAAACUCAGCUUCUGCCCUUGGGGGCUCCUAGAUUCCUCCUUAGCGGAACUAGGAUCUCUUUAAUACCAUCAGAAUUGAUGCCCUAUGGGCU
Molecule: small RNA, 568 nt
Filed under: Pongo abelii (Sumatran orangutan)
Lineage: Eukaryota; Metazoa; Chordata; Mammalia; Primates; Hominidae
Description: retained intron
Source: RNAcentral